This 30-nucleotide ribosomal RNA is filed under the name Arcangeliella sp. T25426. Its description in RNAcentral is "partial 28S ribosomal RNA". The record is from RNAcentral. Lineage: Eukaryota; Fungi; Basidiomycota; Agaricomycetes; Russulales; Russulaceae.
UUUUGAGCRUGCGCCUCCCUUCUCGGGAAU